This 559-nucleotide ribosomal RNA is filed under the name Levilactobacillus brevis. Its description in RNAcentral is "bacterial SSU rRNA". It matches the Rfam family "Bacterial small subunit ribosomal RNA", at positions 91 to 637 of the family's 1533-position model. Lineage: Bacteria; Bacillati; Bacillota; Bacilli; Lactobacillales; Lactobacillaceae. The record is from RNAcentral.
CUGAGUGGCGAACUGGUGAGUAACACGUGGGAAUCUGCCCAGAAGCAGGGGAUAACACUUGGAAACAGGUGCUAAUACCGUAUAACAACAAAAUCCGCAUGGAUUUUGUUUGAAAGGUGGCUUCGGCUAUCACUUCUGGAUGAUCCCGCGGCGUAUUAGUUAGUUGGUGAGGUAAAGGCCCACCAAGACGAUGAUACGUAGCCGACCUGAGAGGGUAAUCGGCCACAUUGGGACUGAGACACGGCCCAAACUCCUACGGGAGGCAGCAGUAGGGAAUCUUCCACAAUGGACGAAAGUCUGAUGGAGCAAUGCCGCGUGAGUGAAGAAGGGUUUCGGCUCGUAAAACUCUGUUGUUAAAGAAGAACACCUUUGAGAGUAACUGUUCAAGGGUUGACGGUAUUUAACCAGAAAGCCACGGCUAACUACGUGCCAGCAGCCGCGGUAAUACGUAGGUGGCAAGCGUUGUCCGGAUUUAUUGGGCGUAAAGCGAGCGCAGGCGGUUUUUUAAGUCUGAUGUGAAAGCCUUCGGCUUAACCGGAGAAGUGCAUCGGAAACUGGG